UCAUGACCUCAGUUUCCUCCAGGACAAAAGGAAAUGGGUGACUAGCACAGGUUACAACUGUUCCGUUUCCUCUACAGUCCACAGGUUUACACAUUAUAUUACUUUUUUCUUUUUUUUUUAGAUCCUCUCCACGUGAGCCCCUCUCUCACUUGGUCUAAAGUGCAGAGUCAGUGUCCUGGAAUUACAGGACAGAGCAGGCGAGGGGAGGGUCACUGAGGAACUGAGACUUUGCUGACUCCAGAUUUACUUACUAAUAGUUCACAGAGAGCAUGAGGCCCACUCAGUAAAAGGAAGACAUGCUAUGCUAAAUGGAGAGGCUAGGCUACAAAAACUAAGGGGCAGGGGUGAAUUUUACUUUGAGUUGGAUAGGAUUAUAAGUUUGUUUAAUGGGAAAGGUUACAUUGCACAAAUGAUUGGUUAUACAGACAGUUGCAUCUGUAUUUAAAGGCUAAACUAAAAUGCAGGUGUUGAAAUUAAUGAUAUGGUAAUGAUACAAAUACAUAUUAUCUGUGGAUCCCAGCCAAACACAAAUGGUUAAAAUAAUAUGUGAACACCAUACACAUCUAGCUCUAUAUAACACAUUCCUCUAUGACCUCAAUGUGGCAAUGAUGUCCAAUACAAUGUAACAGCAUCGGGGACUGCAGCCAACAAAUGACGUGAAAAAGGGCAAUGACCAUCUGCAUAAAGUGUUCUUGUGUUAAACGUUAGUCCUAAAGAAAGUCUUCUAACAAAUAUAACUCUUAACUUAACAUUCUUCGGGAAGAAGAAAUCCCAAGGGAUAAGGGUACUAAGCACAAAAAAUAAUGUACAUUUUUUUCAAUUUUAUAGGACCACAUUCUACUUUGAUUGUUAACACCAUGUUGGCAGUGGGUUUACCUGUUCAGGAAAGCGUUGCCAAAAGCAUUAAGUUUGCGGAAGGGCUUCUUUGGGUCGACUACCAAAGCGUUCCCCGGUAUCACCCCGUCCUGCUCCCCGUGCAUAACGGCAAUGAAAGAGUCUGUAGUCGGCUCCGGGCCAAUCCGCAUACCGGGAAAGUCCUGCUCCAUCAAGUGGCGGAUAAAUGUUGUCUUCCCGGUCGAGUACUGUCCCACCAGAAGCACCAUA
This is a long non-coding RNA of Boleophthalmus pectinirostris (great blue-spotted mudskipper), 1104 nucleotides long. RefSeq lists it as uncharacterized. Lineage: Eukaryota; Metazoa; Chordata; Actinopteri; Gobiiformes; Gobiidae. The record is from RefSeq and is a predicted model, not a curated record. The transcript has 2 exons.